Crepidotus variabilis is the source of this 86-nucleotide non-coding RNA. Lineage: Eukaryota; Fungi; Basidiomycota; Agaricomycetes; Agaricales; Crepidotaceae. The record is from the annotation of a GenBank genome assembly.
GCCGCUUUAGCGUAGUGGUUAUCGCGUCGCACUUGUAUGAUGAAUACGUAAUGCGAAGGUCACUCGUUCAACUCGGGUAGGUGGCA